GAGGUAUGGGAAAAGUCCUGGCCUAGCCCUAUUGUCACCCCUUCUGUUCUUCAUGACCCUCUUUGUUGUCUUCUUGUUUCACAGGCAACUUCAGCAACAGCAGGCAGAAUUGGAAGUACACCAGAGAGAUGGAUUGUCAUCGUAUGACUUAUCCCAGGUCCCCGUCCCCAACCUACCAGCCGGUGUUCAUGAGACUGGGAAGUCCGUGGAAAAGGCGGAUGCAAUCUUCUCCCAGGAAAGAGAUCCUCGGUUUGCUGAAAUGUUUGCAGGAAUUAGUGCAUCGGAGAAGAAGAUGAUGAGCUCAGCCUCUGCAGCAGGAACCCAGCAGAUCUACUCCCAAGGAAGCCCAUUUCCCUCUGGACACUCUGGAAAGGCCUUCAGCUCUUCAGUGGUUCAUGUGCCUGGAGUGAAUGAUAUUCAGUCCUCUUCUUCCACGGGCCAGAACAUGUCCCAAAUCUCCCGGCAGCUAAACCAGAGUCAGGUGGCGUGGACAGGGAGUCGCCCGCCCUUUCCGGGACAGCAAAUCCCAUCUCAGUCCAGCAAGACUCAGUCAUCUCCCUUUGGGAUUGGAACGAGCCACACCUACC
This 587-nucleotide small RNA is filed under the name Pongo abelii (Sumatran orangutan). Its description in RNAcentral is "retained intron". Lineage: Eukaryota; Metazoa; Chordata; Mammalia; Primates; Hominidae. The record is from RNAcentral.